RNAcentral lists this ribosomal RNA (499 nucleotides) under uncultured bacterium. RNAcentral's name for it is "bacterial SSU rRNA". It matches the Rfam family "Bacterial small subunit ribosomal RNA", at positions 28 to 513 of the family's 1533-position model. The record is from RNAcentral.
GACGAACGCUGGCGGCGUGGAUUAGGCAUGCAAGUCGGACGGUAGGGCUUUAUCGUAAGAUAGAGUUUGAGAGUGGCGAAUGGGUGAGUAACACGUAGGAAUCUACCCUUAAGACGGGGACAACCCAGGGAAACUUGGGCUAAUACCGGAUGAGAGUGCGAGAGAUUGCAUUUAAAAGGAUGGCGAAAGUUAUCGCUUAGGGAUGAGCCUGCGGUCUAUUAGUUAGUUGGUGGGGUAAGAGCUCACCAAGGCGAUGAUAGAUAGGCGGCCUUAACGGGUGGUCGCCCACACUGGGAUUGAGAUACGGCCCAGACUCCUACGGGAGGCAGCAGUCGAGAAUAGUCUACAAUGGCCGGAAGGCUGAUAGUGCGACGCCGCGUGAACGAGGGAGCCCUUCGGGGUGUAAAGUCUUUCUAUACGAGCAGUGCUAUAUAUAUGGAUAGUAUAUAUAGAGGGAUAGUAGUAUAGGAAUAAGCAAUCGGCUAACUCCGUGCCAGCA